CAGUAGUGUAUACUAAAGUUGUUGCAGUUAAAAAGCUCGUAGUUGAAUUUCAGGACGAGACGGCUUGGUUCGGGCAACCGAUACUGACUGUCGAGUUCUUCCUUCGGAAGGCGUCGUGUGCCCUUAACCGGGUGUGCGGCGAAUUUCGAUCGUUUACCUUGAAAAAAUUGGAGUGCUCAAAGCAGGUUCUUCAUUUGAACAUUUUAGCAUGGGAUAAUAAGAUAGGGCUUCGGUCUUAUUUUGUUGGUUUCUGAGAUCAAAGCAAUGAUUAAUAGGGACGGUUGGGGGCAUUAGUAUUCGGAUGUCAGAGGUGAAAUUCUUGGAUUUUCCGAAGACUAACUACUGCGAAAGCAUUUGCCAAGGACGUUCCCAUUAA
This 376-nucleotide ribosomal RNA is filed under the name uncultured eukaryote. RNAcentral describes it as "partial 18S ribosomal RNA". It matches the Rfam family "Eukaryotic small subunit ribosomal RNA", at positions 592 to 976 of the family's 1831-position model. The record is from RNAcentral.